RNAcentral lists this ribosomal RNA (402 nucleotides) under bacterium. RNAcentral's name for it is "partial 16S ribosomal RNA". It matches the Rfam family "Bacterial small subunit ribosomal RNA", at positions 355 to 776 of the family's 1533-position model. The record is from RNAcentral.
UGGGGAAUUUUGCACAAUGGGGGAAACCCUGAUGCAGCGACGCCGCGUGAUUUAGAAGGCCUUCGGGUUGUAAAAAUGUUUUCUAUGGGAAGAAAAUGACAGUACCAUAGGAAUAAGGACCGGCUAAGUACGUGCCAGCAGCCGCGGGAAGACGUAAGGUCCGAGCGUGGUCCGGAAUCAUUGGGCGUAAAGGGUACGUAGGCGGGUAAGCAAGUUAGAAGUGCAAUCCUAUAGCUCAACUAUAGUAAGCUUUUAAAACUGAUCAUCUUUAGCUAUGGCAGGUACAGUGGAAUUCCUAGUGUAGCGGUGAAAUGCGCAGAUAUUAGGAGGAAUACCGGUGGCGAAGGCGACUUUCUGGCCAUAACCUGACGCUGAGGUACGAAAGCGUGGGUAGCAAACAGG